This 237-nucleotide long non-coding RNA is filed under the name Chinchilla lanigera (long-tailed chinchilla). RNAcentral's name for it is "lncRNA (ENSCLAG00000023848.1)". The record is from RNAcentral. Lineage: Eukaryota; Metazoa; Chordata; Mammalia; Rodentia; Chinchillidae.
UUCAGACUAUACCAACAAGACAGGAGACAGAACAUCACCAGGAGUCUAAGAGAGCCCAGCUGUCCUCCGGAGAUGCUCCACUGACUGUGGGCGUGGAAGCAGGCUCUGAUCUCGAAUUCCGGUCACCACCAUUCAUUGGAGGGCUGUCAAACACGAAGAAACAAAUUUGAGAAGGAGGUUAAGUAUGUAAGAUCUCAAAUAACCAAGACCCCCAAUUCCAGAUAUGUGGCCAGGAGA